RNAcentral lists this ribosomal RNA (419 nucleotides) under uncultured bacterium. RNAcentral's name for it is "partial 16S ribosomal RNA". It matches the Rfam family "Bacterial small subunit ribosomal RNA", at positions 360 to 771 of the family's 1533-position model. The record is from RNAcentral.
AAUAUUGGUCAAUGGGGGCAACGCUGAUCCAGCCAUGCCUCGUUUUUGAAUAAUGUCUUCGGAUAGCACCGCACCUGAAGUUGCGAGGAAGGGCUUUAGGUUAAUACCCUCAACUUUUGACUUUACCAACAGAAUAAGCACCGGCUACCUCUCUGCCAGCAGCCGCGGUAAUACAGAGGGUCCAAGCGUUAACCGGAAUUACUGGGCGUAAAGCGCGCGUAGGUGGUUCAGUAAGAUGGGUGUGAAAUCCCCGGGCUUAACCUGGGAACUGCUUUCAUAACUGCUGAGCUAGAGUACGGUAGAGGGUAGUGGAAUUUCCUGUGUAGCGGUGAAAUGCGUAGAUAUAGGAAGGAACACCAGUGGCGAAGGCGACUACCUGGACUGAUACUGACACUGAGGUGCGAAAGCGUGGGGAGCAA